This 803-nucleotide small RNA is filed under the name Pongo abelii (Sumatran orangutan). RNAcentral's name for it is "processed transcript". The record is from RNAcentral. Lineage: Eukaryota; Metazoa; Chordata; Mammalia; Primates; Hominidae.
GUCCGCCCGCCCUCGGCUCCGCCGCCGUGAUGCUGUCCCGGUCCCGCUGUGUAUCCCGGGCGUUCAGCCGCUCGCUCUCCGCCUUCCAGAAGCAUUAACAACAGUGUCUUCAGUGUUCGCUUUUUCAGAACUACAGCUGUAUGCAAGGAUGACUUGGUUACAGUCAAAACCCCAGCGUUUGCAGAAUCCGUCACAGAGGGAGAUGUCAGGUGGGAGAAAGCUGUUGGAGACACAGUUGCAGAAGAUGAAGUGGUUUGUGAGAUUGAAACUGACAAGACAUCUGUGCAGGUUCCAUCACCAGCAAAUGGCGUGAUUGAAGCUCUUUUGGUACCUGAUGGGGGAAAAGUCGAAGGAGGCACUCCACUUUUCACACUCAGGAAAACUGGUGCUGCUCCUGCUAAGGCCAAGCCGGCUGAAGCUCCUGCUGCUGCAGCCCCAAAAGCAGAACCUACAGCAGCGGCAGUUCCUCCCCCUGCAGCACCCAUACCCACUCAGAUGCCACUGGUGCCCUCGCCCUCACAACCUCCUUCUGGCAAACCUGUGUCUGCAGUAAAACCCACUGCUGCUCCUCCACUAGCUGAGCCAGGAGCUGGCAAAGGUCUGCGUUCAGAACAUCGGGAGAAAAUGAACAGGAUGCGGCAGCGCAUUGCUCAACGUCUGAAGGAGGCCCAGAAUACAUGUGCAAUGCUGACAACUUUUAAUGAGAUUGACAUGAGUAACAUACAGGAGAUGAGGGCUCGGCACAAAGAGGCUUUUUUGAAGAAACAUAACUUCAAACUAGGCUUCAUGUCGGCAUUUGUGAA